Molecule: RNA transcript, 3324 nt
Organism: Balaenoptera musculus (blue whale)
Lineage: Eukaryota; Metazoa; Chordata; Mammalia; Artiodactyla; Balaenopteridae
Gene: GAB3
Gene name: GRB2 associated binding protein 3
Exons: 11
Source: RefSeq, a predicted model, not a curated record
CCGCCGCGGGCGCCGGCCCAGCCGGAGGAAGCGCGGCACGAUGAGCGCGGGCGACGCCGUGUGCACGGGCUGGCUCGUCAAGUCGCCCCCCGAGAGGAAGCUGCAGCGCUACGCCUGGCGCAGGCGCUGGUUCGUGCUGCGGCGGGGCCGCCUGAGCGGCGACCGCGACGUCCUGGAGUACUACCGCAGCCAGCGCGCCCGCAAGCCCAUCCGCGCCAUCGACCUCAGCGAGUGCGCCGUCUGGAAGCACGCGGGCCCGGGCUUCCUUCGUAAGGAAUUCCAGAACCAUUUCGUGUUCGUUGUCAAGACUGCAUCUCGCACGUUCUAUCUGGUGGCCAAGACGGAGGAGGAAAUGCAGGUGUGGGUGCACAGCAUCAGUCAGGUGUGCAACCUCGGCCACCUGGAUGACAUAGCAGAUUCUGUGGAGAGCGGCUCGCGCGCGCCUUUCUGCGCGCAGCCCUCCGCCGCCAGCUCCCUUCACACCGCCCCUGCUGUCAGCUCCCUGCCAAGAGAUGACCCGAGCACUAGUACGGUAGCCACUGAGAAAACCGGAAGUGAGGCAGGGUUUCUCUUCCUUCCUGAUUAUCUGAUUCUGUCCAACUGCGAGACGGGAAGACUGCACCACGCCAGUCUCCCCACCAGAUGUGACAGCUGGUCAAACUCGGAGCGCUCCCUGGAACAGGCGUCCUUCGACGACGUUUUUGUGGACGGCCCGCAGCCACUGCCCUCCGGGAACCUGGCCUGCCCCUCACGCCCUGGGAACAGUUCUCAAGAGGCCCCUUCCACGAGGCCCCAGGCUGCCCUGAUCUGGACAAGAGAUGUCAAUGGCCCGUCCAGGGACCACUUUUCUUUACCAGUGCUGGAAACUUCCUUAAAUUCCACCGUCCAGGGAGAUCAAAACCAAGCUUCCUUGCCCUAUGGGGUAAAAGGACUAGAUGUUAUGUCCAACACGCCACCUCCCCGCCCCCCUAAGCCGAGCCAUCUCUCUGAACGGCGCCACGAGGAGCAGCUCCCGUGUGGUGGGCCCAGUGGCAUCAAGAAGCCAGAAGGCGCUGUGGUACCGAGAAGAAUCUCUCUCUCCGGUUUAGAUAACAUGAGAACCUGGAAAGGUGAUGUAGAAGGCCAAUCUUUAAGACACCGAGAUAAGCGGCUAAGUUUAAAUUUGCCGUGCAGGUUCUUCCCAAUGUCCCCUCCGGCUUCCACCAGCACUGAGGACAGCUACGUGCCCAUGGGCCCCCAGGCCAUCGCCUCUGCUCUCGGACCCCACUGCAGCCCUGACGACUAUAUCCCAAUGAGCUCAGGAAGCAUCUCCAGCCCAUUGCCUGAGCUCCCGGCGGACCUGGAGCCUCCCCCCGUGAAUAGAGAUCUCAAGCCUCAGAGGAAACCACGGUCACCUCCCCUGGACCUGAAAAGCCUCUCAACCAUCCGGGAACACACGUCUCUCACCAGAACCCGCACUGUGCCUUGCAAUCGAACCAGCUUUCUCUCUCCAGAAAGAAAUGGUAUUAAUUCUGCAAGAUUUUUUGCCAAUUCUGUUUCCAGAGAAGAGGAACAAAGCUACAUGCAAAUGGAGGAGCACGGAGAAGCCAACUUGCUGAGCAGUGGAGCCCUGACGUGGACGAGGAAAUUCAGCCUGGAUUAUUUAGCCCUGGACUUCAACUCAGCGUCACCAGCCCCUGUGCAGCAGAAACUCCUCUUCUCAGAGGAGCAGAGAGUAGACUACGUGCAAGUGGACGAGCAGAAGACGCAAGCUCUGCAGAGCACAAAGCAGGAGUGGACGGACGAGAGGCAGUCCAAAGCGUGACGGCGCUGGGCUGCGGGCAGGGGCUCUGAGGGGGGCCGGCCCUCGUCAGCGGCCGCGCUCGCCCCUGCCGAGCCUCAGGCCGGUGCGCCGGGACGUAGACAGCUCCAUCCCGGCAGGGUGGGAGCCACCAAAGCAAAAGAGGCGUCAGAAAUCUUCUCCAGUGGAGCCUUUGACGUGCAGAUUGGAGCCAACGGGAUGACAUCUUUUGACUCCAGCGCCUGAAGUCUCGACCUCUGUCCUGUGCUUCCGCUGGAAUCAUGAAUGAUCCGAGGAGAGACGCGCCUGGACACCAUCUCGUCCCCACCCCUGAGGACACAGUGCAAGACACCAAGCCUAGGGAUGGUGGCAGGAAGACAAUGCCAGUGACAGGAGCAUUGAGUCCCGAGGUCCGGCAUGAGCAUAUCAGAUGACCCCCGGUGGCUCUAGGGACAUCGUUGUGCUUAAGCAGCUGCCUGUGGCCGGGUGUCCCUUUGCUGUUGGCCUUUUCCCGGCAUGCUUUCACACGCACCGUCUCAUCUCUUCCCCUCAAAGACCUCGGAAGCUAGGCUUGGCGGCGAUCACUGCUCCCACGUCGAGGAAAACAAUACCAAGAACCAGAGAAGGGAACGCUUGGCCCAGGAUGACUCAUGGAGUGAGACAGCGAGUCCGGCUCCUUCCGCCGUCUAAUGCUGCCUCAGUCACUUAGGGUAACUUCGGAGACGCGUGGGAGACACGUGCAGACACGGGAUGACUCAUCAUCUCCUCUCCCUUUCAUAGGAUUUUGAGCAGGUGCUUUUCCACUUGAAAGAAAUGAUCCCAGAUACCACUCCAAGUCAAGUACACAUGGCAUGUCUGUACACUGCGCAGAGUACACCUUUCUAGAAGAUCUGGGAAUCAACAGGACAGUGCAGCCAUUAAUCUCGCAUUAUUUUCUGUAGCUCCUUUUUGCUCCGUUUCCUUCCGUCUCCUUUCAUUAGGAAAUACUUCCAGAUCAGGGGUUUUGUCAUGCAGAAAGGGGGACCGAAGGGUCUCAAGCCUAAGUCCACAGGCCCAGGAACGUUGGGAGUUAAGCUUUCCUCGCGGAGGGAGGAGCCCUGAGGCCCAGCACACAGCCUGGCUACAAGCGCAUGGUGUGACCCUGGGGACUCAGUGUCCAGGCCACUUCGCCACGCAGCAAACAGCAGCUGAGUCGUGGCCGUUGGGUCCGGGUCGAGACUGAUGGCUCCCCUUAGGCCUGGCCUCCCCCCUCUCAAGGCCUCCUCCUCGGGCCCCGUUCAAACCACCUUUGUAUCCACAACCGUGCAGAUGUUUAACAAUUCACUACGCUUUUACUAUUUCAUGUCUGGCAUUAAUAAAAGUCUUAUAAGGAGAGGAAUCGUGACCUAAGUGCCCUCUUAUUUAAGUGACGACAUCUGAAAAACUACGGGACACAUUCUGAAACCUGAAUAAGUGGAAGUAGACUUCACUGCCAUUUUCAAGUACAACAGACUUCACCUGACUCCCAUGGCAUGACCUGCAUCCAUGUUACUUCGCUGCAAACG